RNAcentral lists this ribosomal RNA (737 nucleotides) under uncultured bacterium. Its description in RNAcentral is "bacterial SSU rRNA". It matches the Rfam family "Bacterial small subunit ribosomal RNA", at positions 28 to 776 of the family's 1533-position model. The record is from RNAcentral.
AGUGAACGCUGGCGGCGUGCCUAACACAUGCAAGUCGAACGAGAACGGAACUAGCUUGCUAGUUUGUCAGCUAAGUGGCGCACGGGUGAGUAAGAUAUAGUUAACCUGCCCUCUAGAAAGGAAUAACAGUUAGAAAUGACUGCUAAUGCCUUAUAUGCCUUUUUAACAUAAGUUAGUAAAGGGAAAUGCUUUAGUGCUAGAGGAUGGGACUGUAUAGUAUCAGUUAGUUGGUGGGGUAAUGGCCUACCAAGACGAUGACGCUUAACUGGUUUGAGAGGAUGAUCAGUCACACUGGAACUGAGACACGGUCCAGACUCCUACGGGAGGCAGCAGUGGGGAAUAUUGCACAAUGGACGAAAGUCUGAUGCAGCAACGCCGCGUGGAGGAUGACACAUUUCGGUGCGUAAACUCCUUUUAUAUAGGAAGAUAAUGACGGUACUAUAUGAAUAAGCACCGGCUAACUCCGUGCCAGCAGCCGCGGUAAUACGGAGGGUGCAAGCGUUACUCGGAAUCACUGGGCGUAAAGAGCAUGUAGGCGGAUUGAUAAGUUUGAAGUGAAAUCCUAUAGCUUAACUAUAGAACUGCUUUGAAAACUGUUAAUCUAGAAUAUGGGAGAGGUAGAUGGAAUUUCUGGUGUAGGGGUAAAAUCCGUAGAGAUCAGAAGGAAUACCGAUUGCGAAGGCGAUCUACUGGAACAUUAUUGACGCUCAGAUGCGAAAGCGUGGGGAGCAAACAGG